UACGUAGGCAGCAAGCGUUGUUCGGAAUUACUGGGCGUAAAGAGUGUGUAGGCGGUGCUCUAAGUUCGGUGUGAAAUCUCCUGGCUCAACUGGGAGGGUGCGCCGGAAACUGGGGUGCUGGAGCGCGGGAGAGGAAAGCGGAAUUCCUGGUGUAGCGGUGAAAUGCGUAGAUAUCAGGAGGAACACCAGUGGCGAAGGCGACUUUCUGGCCUGUUCUUGACGCUGAGGCGCGAAAGCUAGGGGAGCAAACGGG
This 253-nucleotide ribosomal RNA is filed under the name uncultured bacterium. RNAcentral's name for it is "partial 16S ribosomal RNA". It matches the Rfam family "Bacterial small subunit ribosomal RNA", at positions 524 to 776 of the family's 1533-position model. The record is from RNAcentral.